GCGAGGAACCUUACCUGGGCUUGACAUGCACGGGUAAAUCCCGUGGAAACCAUAGGUCCCUCUUGCGGAUCCGUCACCAGGUAACUGCAUGGCGGUCGUCAGCUCGUGUCGUGAGAUGUUGGGUNAAGUCCCGCAACGAGCGCAACCCUUGUCCUUAGUUGCCAGCGGAUAAUGCCGGGGACUAUAGGGAGACUGCCGGUGUCAAACCGGAGGAAGGUGGGGAUGACGUCAAGUCAUCAUGGCCCUUACGUCCAGGGCUACACACGUGCUACAAUGGCCGGUACAAAGCGUCGCCAGCUCGCGAGAGUGCGCUAAUCGCAAAAAGCCGGUCUAAGUUCGGAUUGCAGUCUGCAACUCGACUGCAUGAAGCCGGAAUCGCUAGUAAUCGUAGAUCAGCUACGCUACGGUGAAUACGUUCCCGGGCCUUGUACACACCGCCCGUCACGCCAUGGAAGCCGGGAGUGCCCGAAGUCCGUGACCCAACCCUUUGGGCAGGGAGC
This 500-nucleotide ribosomal RNA is filed under the name uncultured Actinomycetes bacterium. RNAcentral's name for it is "bacterial SSU rRNA". It matches the Rfam family "Bacterial small subunit ribosomal RNA", at positions 961 to 1453 of the family's 1533-position model. Lineage: Bacteria; Bacillati; Actinomycetota; Actinomycetes. The record is from RNAcentral.